This 430-nucleotide long non-coding RNA is filed under the name Cicer arietinum (chickpea). Its description in RNAcentral is "long non-coding RNA (CARI_LNC003114)". Lineage: Eukaryota; Viridiplantae; Streptophyta; Magnoliopsida; Fabales; Fabaceae. The record is from RNAcentral.
CACAAAAUCCAGCUAAAAUUUUAAUUUUUUGUGAGGGCUUUUUCAGCCACAAAUAAAGACCAAUUUGAAUUUUUGUAUUUGUGAGGGCUUUUUCGGUCACUAAUUUGUGAGGGUUUUUUUCGGCCACAAAAUAUUUGUCAGGUUGGAGGAUUUCUUGUAGUGAUUAUUUUCACUAUAAAUAGCAUUGAUACAAUCAACCCUAACAAACCCUAGCCGCCGAAUCCAGUUACCAUCUCACCCUCUCUGUGAAAACAUCGUCUUCAACCUUUCUUCUUCCUCUCGAACCUUAGGCUUCAUUCUUUCUUCUUCCUCUCAAAUCUUAGGCUUCACAAAAUAAAUUAAAAAACACAACAUUUUGACGACUACUAUGAGUAUUCCUAUUUUGACUGAAAAGGUUCUCUCACCACAACAAUGAGAUAACUGAAAGGCG